AAUAAUUAUCUUACUUUUAAUAAUUUAAUUUUAUGAGAAAUAUCUUUUUAUUGAGUAUAUUAAAGAAAAAUAUUUAUAGUUAUAGUAAAUUAGUACUGUUAAGGAAAUUAAUGAAAUAAUUUAAAGCUUAAUUUUAAUAAAGUAUAUUUUAUUUAUAGUACCUUUUGUAUCAGGGUUAAUUUAAAAUUUUAAUAUAUUUUUUAUUUCUCGAUUUCAGUAAGAGCUAAUUUAUUAAUUUAGUUAAUGUGUCAUAAUUAUUAUUAAUAUAAAUUAGGUAAGAAAUUUUAUUCGAUUUUGAAGGUAUCUAGUUUUUUAAGAAAUAAAUUUAAUUUAUAUUUAUUAUUUAGUUUUUAUAUUAUAUUAUAAUCUAUAUAUUAAAUAAAAUUUUAUAGGGGAUAAGCUCUAUAUAUUUUCUAUAAAAGAUUUUAUUAAUAAAUUUUUGUAGGUUUAAAAUUAUCCAUCAUUAUUAAGUGUGUUAUAAUUUAUGUUUUUUAUUAAUUAAUUUUAUUAAUUUUAGUAUAUUAUUAAAAUAUCAAAAUUAAUUUUAUAUUUUGAGAAAUAAUAAUUAAAUUAGUAUAAUAAAAUGUUUAUUAUAAUUUAAUAGUUAGAAUAAAAUAAGGAACUCGGCAAAUAUAAUUCUCGCCUGUUUAACAAAAACAUGUCCUUUUGAAUUUAAUUAAAGGUCUGACCUGCCCAGUGAUGAAUUUAACGGCCGCGGUAUAUUGACCGUGCAAAGGUAGCAUAAUCAUUAGUCUUUUAAUAGAGGGCUGGAAUGAAAGGUUUAACGAGGAAUUGACUGUCUCAUUUUAUUUGUUUUAAAAUUUAAUUUUUUAGUUAAAAAGCUAAAAUUUUAUUGGAAGACGAGAAGACCCUAUAGAUCUUUAUAAAAUUAUAUUUAAUUAUUAUUAUAUAAAUAUAAUUAUUUAUUUUUUUAUUUUGUUGGGGUGACAAAAAUAUAUAAUUAACUUUUUUAUUUAUAUAACAUUAAUUUAUGAUUAUAUGAUCCAUUAUUAUUGAUUAUUAGACUAAGUUACCUUAGGGAUAACAGCGUAAUCCUCCUCCAGAGUUCAUAUUUACAGGAUGGGCUUGCGACCUCGAUGUUGGAUUAAGAUAAUAAUUAGGUGAA
This 1126-nucleotide ribosomal RNA is filed under the name Trithemis cf. africana BM-2008. RNAcentral describes it as "partial 16S ribosomal RNA". The record is from RNAcentral. Lineage: Eukaryota; Metazoa; Arthropoda; Insecta; Odonata; Libellulidae.